Long non-coding RNA from Manihot esculenta (cassava), 995 nucleotides. RefSeq lists it as uncharacterized. The record is from RefSeq and is a predicted model, not a curated record. The transcript has 2 exons. Lineage: Eukaryota; Viridiplantae; Streptophyta; Magnoliopsida; Malpighiales; Euphorbiaceae.
UUUUAUUUUUAUUUUUCACAAAGCAUGCAAGAGGUUUUUAAAAGUGGAACGUACGAGGUUUGAAGACGUUUCAUGCAGGCAUCUAAUCAAGCUUGUUAAAUUUCUAGAAAUCAUGUACCGUAUUUGUAGCCCACUUCUUCCAACUCUCAACCUCAAUCACAAUAGCUUUUCUCUCUGUAAUUUCUUCAGCCUCGAGUCUUUUCCUUAGGUUUUAGCCUAAACUUCUCUGCCGUCUCUUGCGAUUUUCCCUACCCUUACGGGCAGGGGAUCUCUUUCCUGUCUGGAUGUGGGUUUUGCUCUCCCCCAUUUGGGUGGUUUGUAGAUAAUUCUUGUGGUUGCUUUUCUACCCAGCAGAUCUAAGCAUAGAGAGAGAGAGAGCAUGUUAUUUUCAUCUGCAUGUUUGGGUUUUUAUUGAUUUUUUCCUCUGUUUGCGUAGUUCAUAAUUUCUAUUGGGAGAUUUGUAAAUCGCGCUCUAUUAGGUUGUGGCCCUUCCUCAUCACGAGUUCUAUUUCUGUGUUUGGUUGUUGUUCUUCUGUGCUUGCAGGUCUAGAGACUCCGAGAUCUACCGCCUGUGUAUGGUUAUCGUUUGACGAAGAGUGCAGAAAGUAAGAUGCUAAUGGUAUCUAGCAGGAACCCGUAACGGCCUGGAAGGUGCGAGUGAGACGCCGAAGAGCCCUACUACCACCACUUGUCGCCAUCUACCAUCAUCGACAUUUUCAGUAGACAACUUCAUCGGCGGCGUUCAUCUUUGCAGAGAGGCGGCGGCGGUUUAAGUUGGUUGUAGCUAGGGUUUCUACUCCUUUCAGCGGGCUGGGCUUGCUUAUAAUGGUGUUGGACUUUCUUGUUUUUAGAAUGGAUGUGAGUUAGGCAUUUCUGUUUUUAUUUGAAUCAUGGCCUGCAUACGAGAUGGAUCGUUUUCUAUAAUAGAUCUUGAGUCUUUUAUAAUGGAUUUCAUUUUCGAAAAAAAAAAAACUCAAUCACAAUUUAAUUUUUAA